RNAcentral lists this ribosomal RNA (496 nucleotides) under uncultured bacterium. RNAcentral describes it as "partial 16S ribosomal RNA". It matches the Rfam family "Bacterial small subunit ribosomal RNA", at positions 28 to 506 of the family's 1533-position model. The record is from RNAcentral.
GAUGAACGCUGGCGGCGUGCCUAAUACAUGCAAGUCGAGCGAACAGACGAGGAGCUUGCUCCUCUGACGUUAGCGGCGGACGGGUGAGUAACACGUGGAUAACCUACCUAUAAGACUGGGAUAACUUCGGGAAACCGGAGCUAAUACCGGAUAAUAUAUUGAACCGCAUGGUUCAAUAGUGAAAGACGGUUUUGCUGUCACUUAUAGAUGGAUCCGCGCCGCAUUAGCUAGUUGGUAAGGUAACGGCUUACCAAGGCAACGAUGCGUAGCCGACCUGAGAGGGGGGUCGGCCACACUGGAGAUGAGACACGGACGAGACCAACACGGGAGGCAGGAGGAGGGAUUUUUGCGGAAGGGGGGAAAGCCGUAAGGCUCAACGGCGCGGGAGGAAGAAAGGUCUUCGGAUCGUAAAACUUUUUUAUUAGGGAAGAAAAAAUGGGAAAGUAAAUAUGCAGGUUUGGACGGGACCUAAUCAAAAAGCCACGGCAAACUACGU